This 492-nucleotide ribosomal RNA is filed under the name uncultured bacterium. RNAcentral's name for it is "partial 16S ribosomal RNA". It matches the Rfam family "Bacterial small subunit ribosomal RNA", at positions 29 to 507 of the family's 1533-position model. The record is from RNAcentral.
AGUGAACGCUGGCGGUAGGCCUAACACAUGCAAGUCGAACGGAAGCACAGUAAGAGCUUGCUCUUAAGGGUGGCGAGUGGCGGAUGGGUGAGAAAUACAUAGGAAUCUACUUUUUCGUGGGGGAUAACGUAGGGAAACUUAUGCUAAUAGAGCAUAUGACGUACGGGUGAAAGCAGGGGAUAUUCGGAGUUUUUGUGUCUGUAUGAGCUGAUGCCGGAUUAGCUAGUUGGCGGGGUAAAGGCACACCAAGGCAACGAUCCGUAGCUGGUCUGAGAGGAUGAUCAGCCACACUGGAACUGAGACACGGUCCAGACUCCUACGGGAGGCAGCAGUGGGGAAUAUUGGGCAAUGGGCGCAAGCCUGAUCCAGCCAUACCGCGUGAGUGAAGAAGGCCUUCGGGUUGUAAAGCCCUUUUGUUAGGAAAGAAAAACAGCAGGUUAAUACCCCGCUGUUCUGACGGUACCCAAAGAAUAAGCACCGGCUAACUUCGUG